AAAAAAGAAAAUCCACACACACACACACGCUAGGGCACACCACAUGCUGAAUCGAAAAAGGCAAAUCGCCGACGGUGAAAGGUGAAUCGCCAAUGCUGCGACAGGAAGCCAUCUUGUGAAGCUUGCCAAAGUCGAUUGCCACCGUACUACACAUCAUUGGCAUCGCAAAAGACUCACGAAGAUCUCAACUGAGCUGAACGCCGCCCAGGUACACAUCUGCGACGUCGAAGCAUAAUUCAUUGGCCCAAACACCACCAACCGUCAAGUAGUGUUGCCUGACCUGCGUGGUUAGUCCAAAUUGCUUCUACACGUACGUCUCCUCGUACCCUUUCGAAAAACAAAGACAUUGCUCCAAAGAAGUCAAGCAAUUUGGAAGAGACACACAAGUAGUUAAACCAUAAGGCCUCCUAGGACAGUGACUCAAUCAGAAUUUUUCUGCAGUUAAUUGCCAGUGAGAUAACAAAAGGAAAUUGGCCAUUCCUAGUCCUUAGCCAAGCAAAGUACAAGUCGUUGGCAAGGAAAUUUGAGAAAAAAACAGGACGGAAACAUGGCCUCAAACAGUUGAAGAACAAAUACAUGAGUCUCAAAAAAGUGUCUGAUGAGUGAUAGGACAAGAUGGAAUCGAUAAACAAGGUUUGUGCAAAGUUCAGGAAAAAAAAACUUUGGAACAUCGCGAGCUGACGGAGACAGUCUUUAUAGGGGCUUCAGCUACAGGUAAACACCAUUGGACCCCGAGAAAGAAAGUUGUUGAAGCGGCCGAUGUCUCAUCCAAUUCUAUGGACAGUAUCGGCGCCCAGCCAUUUGUUGAUCCAAUAACUGCACGAGCAAAGGACGUGGAUUCAGAUUCUUCAAUCGAACCAGUUCAGGCUGACGUUAAAAGGAAGCGGACUCCGUCAUCAAGUUGUGGAAAGUCGAAGAAAGCAACAAGUGGCGCAUCAAUUAUAGCAGAAAGCAUGAACAAUCUUACAAAUGUAGUGCGUACCUAGAAUCAGCAAGUUACGGUGAGGCACCUGACAGGCAACGAAUCAUUGUACACAAUUUCGGAGUGCAUGCAAAGGCUUAGCAACAUUCUUUCCCUUCUCGGUACACCGUUAUUCCAUUAUGCGUCGACACUGAUGGAAAACGCAGAUUCCCGAAAGGUGAUGAUGUGUCAGCCUGAUGACAACCACAUUGUAGGCUGGCUGACACAGAAACAACUGUAGUCGAGUGCGGCGGCGCCAUUUGCCAACCUAAACGAGGCUCCCCGUGUUUGAUAACAGUGUCGUGCUAAAGACGCGUUCCCUUCUCUUUCUUUACAAAACUUUUAAUUACGUUCAUGUUGGACUUGUACUAAACAGGAUGGAUGUGGUGUUUUUUCCUUUUUUGGUUUUUUUUUUUUUUUUGGCCCGUUUUUAUAAGACUUAUUUGCAUGUUUGUGUAUGUUUGUUGAUGAUUAUGUAGGAUGGUUGUGUAUUUUUUUUCAAAUGGAACAGGAUGGUUGUGUUUGUUAUUA
Long non-coding RNA from Camellia sinensis, 1492 nucleotides. RefSeq lists it as uncharacterized. The record is from RefSeq and is a predicted model, not a curated record. Lineage: Eukaryota; Viridiplantae; Streptophyta; Magnoliopsida; Ericales; Theaceae.